AUCAUUCACAAUGGGGGAAACCCUGAUGGUGCGACGCCGCGUGGGGGAAUGAAGGUCUUCGGAUUGUAAACCUCUGUCCUUGGUGACGAUAAUGACGGUAGCCAAGGAGGAAGCUCCGGCUAACUACGUGCCAGCAGCCGCGGUAAUACGUAGGGAGCGAGCGUUGUCCGGAUUUACUGGGUGUAAAGGGUGCGUAGGCGGCCAUGCAAGUCAGGUGUGAAAACCCGGGGCUUAACCCCGGGACUGCAUUUGAAACUGUGUGGCUUGAGUGAAGUAGAGGCAGGCGGAAUUCCCGGUGUAGCGGUGAAAUGCGUAGAGAUCGGGAGGAACACCAGUGGCGAAGGCGGCCUGCUGGGCUUUAACUGACGCUGAGGCACGAAAGCAUGGGUAGCAAACAG
RNAcentral lists this ribosomal RNA (398 nucleotides) under uncultured bacterium. RNAcentral's name for it is "bacterial SSU rRNA". It matches the Rfam family "Bacterial small subunit ribosomal RNA", at positions 361 to 775 of the family's 1533-position model. The record is from RNAcentral.